UUCCAGUCUCAGGUGCCAGCCACAUAAAGGACAGCAUGAGGUCAACUUCUGCAGCAAGUUCUUGGUGCCCCUACCCAAAUUCCUUUGGCACUCUCCCAUCCGGAACAUUCUCCGAGGGCAUGAGAACUUUACCCGAGGGUACGGAGGCCACGGUAGAUGGGAAUGGGGGAGACGUACCUCAGCUUCUCCACUCCUCAGGAAGGAGCCACCUGUCUCCCAGCUGUCUGGGACUGUCUGCUGGAACAAGUGACAUCACGGUGACCAGAAACCUCCUCCCUUUUGUCUGGAGCAGUUAUGAUGUCAUUCCCUCUGGCAGCGAAGCAGGAUGUUGGCAGCUGGGAUUCCUCCGGGUCCUCCUGAAGUGAUAAUUGCCUUAGAUUUUGUUAUAAAGUGCAGCUGCUAAUUAUCUUGUUAAAUCACA
Molecule: long non-coding RNA, 421 nt
Organism: Cavia porcellus (domestic guinea pig)
Lineage: Eukaryota; Metazoa; Chordata; Mammalia; Rodentia; Caviidae
Exons: 2
Source: RefSeq, a predicted model, not a curated record